GAUUGGAAUAUUACAGGCGGAUGUCUUGAGUGGUUUGGAGGAAAUAGCACAGAUUCAGUGACAGGAAAUAUUGCAGGAAAAUCGACGAUUGCAACUCCCUUUGAUUGUCGGGU
This 113-nucleotide non-coding RNA is filed under the name Pteridomonas danica. The record is from RNAcentral. Lineage: Eukaryota; Dictyochophyceae; Pedinellales.